GCUCAUGUAGUUUAAUUCCGGAUUAUUCAAUAUAAAGGUUGUUAUAUUUAGUUGGAAUCAUAAUCCUAACAUAAGGUUCUUAACAGUAAACUCUAGCUUUUGAAUACAUGUAUUCACAUUUUAAUAUUUGUUCAAAUUUUGGUGUUUAAUGACAUGUAUAUCUAUGUUCAGUGUCGAACAUAGUGGUUUCAACCUCUGGUCAUGUAUAGGAGAAGAAGAGACUUACCUGAGGGAUAUCUCGGGGAGGUGUAGGAUGAGGGAAAAUGGGUUGCCAUCUGUUCAGUUGCUGUGCUCAGGUUCAUGUGAAUUAGAAUCAUGCCACUGUUCAGGACUCCAAUUCUCAUUUGGUGUAAAAUUAUAAGGCCUCAUGAUUCCACUAUUUCCUCUUGAUCACUAAUUCUUUGUACUUGUAUGCUCUUCGUGUGUUCUUUUCUUCUUUAGUUUUGUAUUUUUGGGACAACUGGGAGGGGAAUUAGAAACUAUAGCUUAAGAAGC
Molecule: long non-coding RNA, 495 nt
Filed under: Nicotiana benthamiana
Lineage: Eukaryota; Viridiplantae; Streptophyta; Magnoliopsida; Solanales; Solanaceae
Description: long non-coding RNA (NBEN_LNC013088)
Source: RNAcentral